This 253-nucleotide ribosomal RNA is filed under the name uncultured bacterium. RNAcentral describes it as "partial 16S ribosomal RNA". It matches the Rfam family "Bacterial small subunit ribosomal RNA", at positions 524 to 776 of the family's 1533-position model. The record is from RNAcentral.
UACGAACUGUGCGACCGUUAUUCGGAAUCACUGGGCUUACAGGGUGCGUAGGCGGCUUGUUAAGUAGGGUGUGAAAGCCCCCGGCUCAACCGGGGAAUUGCGCCCUAAACUGGCGAGCUGGAGUGAGAUAGGGGUGUGUGGAACUUCCGGUGGAGCGGUGAAAUGUGUUGAUAUCGGAAGGAACGCCGGUAGCGAAAGCGACACACUGGGUCUUGACUGACGCUGAGGCACGAAAGCCAGGGGAGCGAACGGG